RNAcentral lists this ribosomal RNA (1795 nucleotides) under hot springs metagenome. RNAcentral describes it as "bacterial LSU rRNA". It matches the Rfam family "Bacterial large subunit ribosomal RNA", at positions 1135 to 2925 of the family's 2925-position model. The record is from RNAcentral.
UAACAGCUCACUGGUCAAGCAGCGCUGCGCCGAGGCUGUAACGGGGCAAAGCGAUGCGCCGAAGCUGCGGGUUCGUGAGAACACGAACGGUAGGGGAGCGUCGUGGUCGCAGCGAAGGGGUCGCGAAAGCGGCGCUGGAGCGACAACGAGUGCGAAUGCCGGAAUGAGUAACGGAGAAGCGAUGUAGCAAUCAUCGCCACCGAACGUCUGAGGGUUCUGCCGCACGGAUGCACCGCGGCAGGGUAGUCGGGCCUAAGGCGAAGGCGGCAGCCGGAGCUGAUGGACAACAGGUGGAUAGUCCUGUACCGUGGAGCGGUCGCUUGAACCAAGGCCGGAAGCUGAGGGGUAGUCGCCGCGGCGAGACGAGCGCCGUCCAAGCCGGUAGGGAGCCGAGCGCGGCAAAUCCCGUUCGGCGAUGAGCGAGAGGCGAGUGAAAGUGGCCGUCGAGCGACGGCUGCGAUGGCGAGGCGCCUGUGCAGCCACGAAAAGCCGGCUCGGGAGACCCUCCACGCCCGUACCGCAAACCGACACAGGUAGACAGGUCGAGGAGACCAAGGUGGACGAGUGACCCCCAGUUAAGGAACUCGGCAAAUUGACCCCGUACCUUCGGAAGAAGGGGUGCUGCGCGUAGCGUGAAGUCCCUGGCGGAUGGAGCGCGAGGCAGCCGCAGGGUUCAGGCCCGGGCGACUGGAUACCAGAACCACAGCUCCCUGCUAAAGCCGGAAGGCGACGUAUAGGGGGUGAUGCCUGCCCAGUGCCGGAAGGUUAAGGGGAGGUGUGCAAGCGCCGAACCGAAGCCCCGGUAAACGGCGGCUGUAACUAUAACAGUCCUAAGGUAGCGAAAUUCCUUGUCGGGUAAGUUCCGACCCGCACGAAAGGCAUCACGAUCUGGGCACUGUCUCAACUGGGGGCUCGGUGAAAUUGCAGUGGCCGUGAAGAUGCGGCCAACUCAGAGCGGGACAAAAAGACCCCGUGGAGCUUUACUACAGCUUGCCAUCGGGUUGCGCAAGCGGAUGCGUAGGAUAGGUGGGAGGCGGAGAACCGUGGCUUGCGGGCGACGGGGAGCCGACGGUGAAAUACCACUCUUCCGGGUGCGCAGCCCUCACCGGUGGGAAGCCGGGACGGUGGCUGGCGGGUAGUUUGACUGGGGCGGUCGCCUCCUAAAGGGUAACGGAGGCGCGCAACGGCGCCCUCAAGCGGGAUGGUCAUCCGCUGGGGAGUGCAACGGCAGAAGGGCGCUUGACUGCGAGGCCGACGCGCCGAGCAGGGAUGAAAGUCGGCCGUAGUGAUCCCACAGUACCGGGUGGAAGGGCUGUGGCUUAACGGAUAAAAGCUACCCCGGGGAUAACAGGCUCAGACCGCCCAAGAGUUCAUAUCGACGGCGGAGCGUGGCACCUCGAUGUCGGCUCGUCGCAUCCUGGGGCUGGAGUAGGUCCCAAGGGUUGGGCUGUUCGCCCAUGAAAGCGGCACGCGAGCUGGGUUCAGAACGUCGUGAGACAGUUCGGUCUCUAUCCGCUCUGAGCGCGUAGAGCACUGCGCGGGGCUGGCCCUAGUACGAGAGGACCGGGCUGGACGGACCGCUGGUGGAGGAGUUGUGGGGCGACCUGCAGGCUCCGUAGCUACGUCCGGGAGUGAGAACCGCUGAAAGCAUCUAAGUGGGAAACACGCCGCAAGACGAGUGCUCUCACAGCGCAAGGCUGGUAAGCCCCCCGGGAGACGACCGGGGCAAGCGACCGGAGCUGGAGGCGGGGCGACCCGUAGAGGCGACCGGUGCGCAGGGGCGAGGGCUUCCCAC